This 3727-nucleotide long non-coding RNA is filed under the name Homo sapiens (human). RNAcentral's name for it is "HSALNT0095335". The record is from RNAcentral. Lineage: Eukaryota; Metazoa; Chordata; Mammalia; Primates; Hominidae.
UAGUGGAGCUGGCCGCUCCCCACCUCCGAGGCUGCGAGGAGCAGAAGAGAAAGCAGCAGGCACUGGGCUCCAGGAUCUUCUCGCCAGGAGAACAACAUUAGAGGAUGAAGCAAAGCAGUAUCUGAAUACGUAAUGCACGCUGUUAUUUCUUUUGUGGAGAAAGACCUUGUGGUGGACAGCGACAUCAUGUGGCUAAACGUGUAAGUAUUAAAUAUGUAAACGUAUCUUCUUUUCCUUGUAUGUCGUUUGAACUUUCCCAAAAUUUCUAGUUUCAAUUGUAAUAUCCUUCGGUCACUCCUCAAAGUCCUUAUAUUUUAUCUAAAUAUUUCCUUAGAACUUUUAUACUAAUUCACUAUCAAUUGUGCUAAUUCAUGACAUACACUAAAAUAUUGUGAUUCCUGUUUUAACAGUGGACAUCUAUUGGAAAUAUUUCCCAUGUGACAGCCACUUUUCUAUUUGUCUUAAUGGAAUUAUCCCGUUAAAUUAUCACAAUCCUCUGAAAUAAGUUUUAAUAUUAUUCGCUUUUUAUAAACACAUAGAGGUUAAGUAAAACGAUAUUAUCUCUUGGUACGAUGGGAUUUCAAUCUGAUUCAAGACAACUUACCAUUAACCUCUUUACCACCCAAGUUACAUUUUAUAGAAAAAUCAGAUCCUUUCAGAUUUAUGAUCAUCAAAACAUUGAGAUGUUGAAGUAUUUAAAAGUGUGUGUGUGCUGUAUAUAUUAAAACAUACAUAUAUCUACUUUUAUGUUAUUACAGCAACUGUUAAUUUCUUAAAAUAUGUACAUUUAUGGUUUUUUAAAUUUGUAGAAUGUCUGUAAUUCCCUCCCAUGCCCCUUUUUCAAGAACUAUAGCCUCAUCAACUGUCUUGACUGUAACUUACAUAAAGAUUUCAGAAGUCGGUCCUUUACAGAGAAAUUCAAACAGGAAAUUUGUUUCCUAUUGUGGGAAUGUGAUUUGUAUAUUUGUUACACUCACAUCACAUCAAUUAAGAAUAUAUUAGGUUUAAUUUUUCCACACUCUUUAUGUAUUUGAAUUUACCUGUAUAUACUAAAAUGUUAACAAUAUAAAGUAAUUACGUUUUUGAUGAUCUCCACUCCUGAUGAAUUUCUAGAUUCCAGUUUUUUUAAAAGUUGUUACUUGAAAGAAUUGAUUAUUUAACUAAACAGUGAAGGGAGAAAAGUAACCUAGGAACAUAAGCCAGUAUUUACUCAACAUAUUUAACACUAAGCAAUAAAACAUUCUAAAGAUAUCUGUGAAUUCAAUGAGAAGCAUGAAUUCUCGCCGCAUUUGGAAGUGGGGCAAAGAAAAUUUAUGGAAAGAGGUCAAAUUUAGAGAAAUAAAAUAAUGUACAAAUUUUUGCUUAUACCCAGACCAUUUAAAAAUGAAAUCAAACAUGUGAUUUAAAUAUUUAGGGGAAAAGUUUUCAUUUCAGCUUUUGUUUCCUGUGUAUUCAUGAAAUGGAAGCCAGGACUGCAACUUACUCAGAUUUUAUCAUUCAUAUUUAGAAUAGGAUAAAUUAUCAAUUGUUGUUUUCAUGAAUAAAUAAAUUAAUAUUUUGAAUUAACUUUUUCAAGCAAGAUAAAUAAAAAUGUAAGUUAAUGAUAUUUGUUAAUAUCAAACUUACAUAAUUUCUAAAUGAUUAUAUUGUGCUAUAUUAUGAAGAAGUAAGUAAACAUUUAAGCAUUAUUUCUGAAAAGCAUGGACCUAAGAAAUAAUUAUAGCUAUUAAUAUUCCAGUUACCACUUUGCUGAAUUUUUAAAGAUGGUAGCUAGUUUGAAAAUAAGAGAUAAAUUUAAAAUUUUUAAACUUCAUGGACUUCAUAGUAAUGAGAUGCCUUUGACAACUUAUUGUAAUACUGCACUUUUCAGUACCUUUAAGAGUUAUACUAAUUGCAAAAUGGAAUGUCACAUGAGAAUUUAUAGCAGAGUAGACUCCAUACUGAUUAUUAAGAGAUAAAGGUAAUAUUAAAGGAACUAUGAGUUUAGAAGAUUGAGCCAUUUUGUAGAUAAAGUAUCAGUGAAUAAUUUCUACUACCACCUAGAUGUCACUUAGACAACCAAGAAAAAAUGUAAAUAAGAAUGUUUUGAAAAAACUUAUAGAGCAACAGAUUGUGACUCCUGGAGAUUUGGAUAUAUGUGAAUAUAAUUUUAGAAGCUUAUCAUUUACCUAUGGUAGAAACAUAGUGGUCAAGUAUUACUUGGAAAUGGAUAUUCUGACCUAACUAUGAAAUGGCUAAAGGUAAGAUCACUAGUGGAAGUUAUUUCUAUGAUUUAUCAAUAUGCACAUAUAUUUAGAAUAAACAGCAAAUAACUAAGAACUAAAUAGUAGAGGACCGUUUAAGACAGUUAUUUUAUUGCAAUACAUCUGCCUUUGGUUGGAAAAGCUAAAAAAGUUCUUUCCAAGUGUAACAUUUACUUGUCGAGUUCAGUGUUAUAAUUACCCAAAAUAAAUGUUUCAAGUGAAAAUGUAGUCAUCCAAGACCAGGCCUCAUCUUUUGGAAAAAUUCCAAUUUCAUUAGGAAUAUGGAUGCUUCCAGGUAAAAUUGAGUGAGCUCACAUUAAUGGAAAAUGUAUUCCCACGCAUAGAAUUAGAUGCCAGAAAAAAGUAGUCAAUCUCUGCAGUGGGAGGCCUGCACACAUUGGCCUAAUGAUAAUGAUACUGAAAGGAUGAUUUAUCAACCAUUAACAUAAAGACUGGGUAGUCUCCACUUAAAUGAAGAAAAAGUCCCACCACCUGAAAAACCCCAGUGUGAUUUUUAAAUGUUAAUAUUUUCAAAUUAAACAAAAUUGAGAGGGUCUCUUUUCUCAAUACUCUCUAUUUUUGCCUGAUAACUCAAAAAUGUUAUCAGUGUGAAAUCUUUAUACCAAAUAAUGGGUUAUUUUACUUAUAAAAAACAUACUUAAGAUUAGCAGUUAUUCCUAAGUGCUGUCAUUUUGUUGUAACAACCUGUGCUACAUACUUUUGGAAAUUCUGGUGUUAAAAUAUCCACUCAGGCUGCUUUCAAAUACAAAUAAAAAGACCAGGUGCAGUGGCUCACUCCUGUAAUCCCAGCACUUUGGGAGGCCUAGGAGGGUGGAUCACUUGAGGCCAGGAGUUUGAGACCAGCCUGGCCAACAUUUAGUUGAGACCAACCCCGUCUCUACUAAAAAUAAAAAAUUUAAAAAAGAAAAUAGCCGGGCGUGGUGGUGGGCGCCUGUAAUCCCAGUUACUAAGGAGGCUGAGGCAAGACAAUCACUUGAACCCGGGUGGCAGAGGUUAUAGUGAGCUGAGAUCACACCACUGCACUCCAGCCUAGGUGACAGAGCAAGACUGUCUCAACAAAAACAAACAAACAAAAAAAAAAUGUAGCUUAUUAACUAUUGCAUAGACAAGGGCAUUGUUGAUCCAAAGAACAAUCUAAGAAAUGUCCAGGAUAUAGGUUAUUCCAAACACUAUCCGACAGAUUGGAUAGACAGUGUCAGUUGAAAAUACGUAUUAUAUAAUCAAAUUCUUUAAUUUCUUCCGAUUGUGAUUUUCAAUUUUUAAGAGAGAAAAUAUUUAUGGGAAAUGUUUAAUUUACAAAUUUUGCUGAGGUGUUUUUCAGUGUUUCAUGGUCUAUUACUUAUGACUUAAUGAUGGAAGUGCCAAAAUGUAAAAAUAAGAAAACAGUUAUGUAGAUUGUUUAAAUAAAUUGUUCAGUAAAUGCAAUAAAUUGAUCUCUAAUUCAUAUUCAAAAUCGCACGGUA